GUUUCUAGGGCCCCUAAGGCUCUGGUCUGCGAAACCAGAGAUUCUGGGUUCGUUCCCCAGUGGAGUCG
RNAcentral lists this transfer RNA (68 nucleotides) under Triticum aestivum (bread wheat). It matches the Rfam family "tRNA". Rfam says of the family: Transfer RNA (tRNA) molecules are approximately 80 nucleotides in length. Lineage: Eukaryota; Viridiplantae; Streptophyta; Magnoliopsida; Poales; Poaceae. The record is from Rfam by way of RNAcentral. RNAcentral also lists the same sequence under 1 other name.